GGUGGUUUUCAGGUGAUGCACCCCAGAAUCGGGCUCCCUCCUCUCUGGUUCUGGGUGUAUCACCAGGAACCGCA
Non-coding RNA from Myotis davidii, 74 nucleotides. NCBI's taxonomy places the organism in Eukaryota, Metazoa, Chordata, Mammalia, Chiroptera, Vespertilionidae. The record is from Rfam.